CCGUCUCUUAGUGUUGAAAUUGUGUCGUUCCCAUGACGAAAAAACCCGGUGAAGAAUCUUUCUUUCUCUAUCUCUCCCACUCUGUGUCGCUCCUGAUGAAGAAAAUAGCAUGCAGCCGACUGGAAUCGAAAGGAUGUGGAAUAUUCUCAAUUUUGAAUUUGUUCGAGUGAAAGCUCGAAACUUUGACGUAUUGUGGCUAUGGAUGACAUGAUCCGUUAGACUGAAUUUUAAUGUUUGUGUCUUUUGUGAAUGGGCAGGUGAAGAGAGAGUUAAGAGGCAUCCAGGAACAGAGAAAGAUGAUGAAAAGAGAAGCAGGAGAAGUGAGAAAAAGAAGGAAAAGAAAUCUCACAAGCACCACCGAUCAAGUACAUGAAAGUGAGAGUAAAGAAGAUGUUCUUGAUGAAGGUGAUGAUGAUGAGGAUGAUUUGGAGGAAGAGCAUGAGACACAAGUUCAUCCAGAAGCAGAGCCUGAGGUGAAAAGGGCUCCUGAAUUUCGUUAAUGGGUCUUCCCGUUCGACCCCCUUUUCACCCAAUCUGUUUUUUUUGUUUAUGUGUCUCACUGUUAUCUACAUCUUGUGAUCCUUGCUCUGCUCAUGACUAGCAAGACUGUGUUCACCGAGAAGAUACUCAACUUCCUGCCAAGUGUUUCAGUUGCAUAUCAAUAAGCUACCGGCAACGGUAACGUUUGAGAAGAACAAAAGCAUGUGAAGUAACUUCGAUUAUUACUUUUCUUCCUUGAGGUAAAUAUCAAAUUCAGAUAAAAUUUUAAUGACAUUACCUAUGAACAUGAUGAAAUAAUUUACAAUUUUUUUUUUGAAGAACCUUUACUUAAAAAACUUGCAAUGGAGGACAAAAAUUUAGGUGUCUCUUACCUAAAGUUCUUAACAUAUAUUUAUUACUAAACAAUUGAUUAAGAGACCCUAAUGGGUUCUAGGGAUAAUCAUGCUUUAACUCAUCUUCUCGACGUGUUCUGACGUGUUCUACCGUGUGAUAUUACCAAUAUUAUUUAAAUAGAAGCAUAAUUUAGACUUAACUUUGAUCUACCGUGUGAUAUUACCAAAUUAAAACUUUUAUAUUAGUUAUGCACUCUAAUAUAUCAGAUAACAACUUAAUUAGUCAUCUAAUACUAAAUAAUUAAAAAUAUUUCUAAAAUAAAAUAACUAAAAAGCUAUUCAUACAUUUUUUUAAGACUGCAAUCUAAUAAAAUCAUAGUGUAUAAAUUAAAACAUAAAAA
Long non-coding RNA from Brassica napus (rape), 1234 nucleotides. RefSeq lists it as uncharacterized. NCBI's taxonomy places the organism in Eukaryota, Viridiplantae, Streptophyta, Magnoliopsida, Brassicales, Brassicaceae. The record is from RefSeq and is a predicted model, not a curated record. The transcript has 3 exons.